GAUGAACGCUGGCGGCGUGCCUAAUACAUGCAAGUCGAGCGAACGGACGAGAAGCUUGCUUCUCUGAUGUUAGCGGCGGACGGGUGAGUAACACGUGGAUAACCUACCUAUAAGACUGGGAUAACUUCGGGAAACCGGAGCUAAUACCGGAUAAUAUUUUGAACCGCAUGGUUCAACAGUGAAAGACGGUCUUGCUGUUACUUAUAGAUGGAUCCGCGCUGCAUUAGCUAGUUGGUAAGGUAACGGCUUACCAAGGCAACGAUGCAUAGCCGACCUGAGAGGGUGAUCGGCCACACUGGAACUGAGACACGGUCCAGACUCCUACGGGAGGCAGCAGUAGGGAAUCUUCCGCAAUGGGCGAAAGCCUGACGGAGCAACGCCGCGUGAGUGAUGAAGGUCUUCGGAUCGUAAAACUCUGUUAUUAGGGAAGAACAUAUGUGUAAGUAGCUGUGCACAUCGUGACGGUACCUAAUCAGAAAGCCACGGCUAACUACGUG
This 497-nucleotide ribosomal RNA is filed under the name uncultured bacterium. Its description in RNAcentral is "partial 16S ribosomal RNA". It matches the Rfam family "Bacterial small subunit ribosomal RNA", at positions 28 to 507 of the family's 1533-position model. The record is from RNAcentral.